Heterocephalus glaber (naked mole-rat) is the source of this 391-nucleotide long non-coding RNA. NCBI's taxonomy places the organism in Eukaryota, Metazoa, Chordata, Mammalia, Rodentia, Bathyergidae. The record is from Ensembl.
CAAAGGUGGGCAGCAACUCCUCCAGACAGAAGGCUGAAGAUGGUUUCCAUGGAGACCGCUCUGGCUCUGGUUUCCAAGGCAACACUUGCAGGAGGGACAGCGACAAGCCUCAAGAGCCAGAGGGGAAAUAGAUGAGACUGAACAGUUAGCAAGAGGGGAGGACACGGCAGCCCACAGCUGCUGCCAGCCCAGCGUUAGAAAGUGCAAAGACAAAGGCCUGCAGUGCCCUGCUAUCCUCGCUUCCGGGGGGCCCUGGUGUUCCCCAGCUUUGAAGCUCCUCCCAGAAGCAGUAGAUGCUGCUCCAUAGAGCUGUCUUUCUAAAAAUUCCCCUUUAUAUAUGCCACCUGCUUUAACCUAUUUGUAGAUUUUGGAGAAAUAUUAUACAUCAGCA